Molecule: small nucleolar RNA, 107 nt
Organism: Arachis duranensis
Lineage: Eukaryota; Viridiplantae; Streptophyta; Magnoliopsida; Fabales; Fabaceae
Source: RefSeq, a predicted model, not a curated record
AAUAUAUCAGGGGGGCAUUUCCUUGUUAGAUCAUUGAAUCUCUCCCAGGCUUCUUAUAAGGUUUCACCAUCUUGCUGUCUAAAUGUCUGCAUCUCGGUUCUCAGUCU